CUCGACUGUAGCCUGGAAUUGGGUUCGGGCUUUUCUUGCGCAGCCUAGGUGGGAGGCUUUGAAAGUUUUCUUUCGGGGAAACUGGAGCCAACAGUGAGAGACCACUCUGGAGGAGCUAGAAUUCUAAUGGCGAUCCUUGAAUCAGGACGCUUGACAGUUUCAGGCGGGCAGUAUGACUGGGGCGGUCGCCUCCUAAAAGGUAACGGAGGCGUGCAAAGGUUCCCUCAGGCUGGACGGAAAUCAGCCGAAGCGUGUAAAGGCAGAAGGGAGCUUGACUGCAAGACCUACAAGUCGAGCAGGGGCGAAAGCCGGCCUUAGUGAUCCGACGGUACCGUGUGGAAGGGCCGUCGCUCAACGGAUAAAAGUUA
This 368-nucleotide ribosomal RNA is filed under the name uncultured organism. RNAcentral's name for it is "bacterial LSU rRNA". It matches the Rfam family "Bacterial large subunit ribosomal RNA", at positions 2099 to 2465 of the family's 2925-position model. The record is from RNAcentral.